This 402-nucleotide ribosomal RNA is filed under the name uncultured bacterium. RNAcentral describes it as "bacterial SSU rRNA". It matches the Rfam family "Bacterial small subunit ribosomal RNA", at positions 355 to 774 of the family's 1533-position model. The record is from RNAcentral.
UGGGGAAUAUUGCACAAUGGGCGAAAGCCUGAUGCAGCAACGCCGCGUGAGUGAUGAAGGCCUUCGGGUUGUAAAGCUCUGUCUUCUGGGACGAUAAUGACGGUACCAGAGGAGGAAGCCACGGCUAACUACGUGCCAGCAGCCGCGGUAAUACGUAGGUGGCAAGCGUUGUCCGGAUUUACUGGGUGUAAAGGGUGCUCAGGCGGAUUUGUAAGUCAGAGGUGAAAUCUUACAGCUUAACUGUGAAACUGCCUUUGAUACUGCAAGCCUAGAGUAUGGAAGAGAGAGAUGGAAUAUCUGGUGUAGCAGUGAAAUGCGUAGAUAUCAGAUAGAACACCAAUGGCGAAGGCAGUCACUUGGUCCAUUACUGACGCUAAAGCACGAAAGCGUGGGUAGCAAACA